RNAcentral lists this ribosomal RNA (120 nucleotides) under Helianthus annuus (common sunflower). Lineage: Eukaryota; Viridiplantae; Streptophyta; Magnoliopsida; Asterales; Asteraceae. RNAcentral also lists the same sequence under 1 other name. The record is from RNAcentral.
GGUUGCAAUCAUACCAGCACUAAUGCACCGGAUCCCAUCAGAACUCCGCAGUUAAGCGUGCUUGGGCGAGAGUAGUACUAGGAUGGGUGACCCCCUGGGAAGUCCUCGUGUUGCAACCCC